Molecule: non-coding RNA, 447 nt
Organism: Danio rerio (zebrafish)
Lineage: Eukaryota; Metazoa; Chordata; Actinopteri; Cypriniformes; Danionidae
Source: Ensembl
GAUAUGCGAGACUCAAGCCAUCAGACACGUAGCGAUGGCUUGUAAAGCAAAACACCGCUGGAUUCCAGCAGCAGAACAUUUAAGAUAGUCAGUGUGCGCGUGCACGCGAACGCGCGCUGCUUGCCAAAAAACUCACAGCGCUCGCUGAGAAAGAGUUUGUCUGAAACUAGUGUUUUUUUUUGUUUUCUUCUGAAGAUUUGUGUUUCAUCCGACACAACUUGAGGCUCGCGGUAUGAGGGAGAGGGCGCUCGUGUCUCGGGUAGCGUCUAGCUGCGGGGUGCUAAUUCGGAGCAGUUGGUGAUGACUGCAAGAUCUAAGCGUUGAGUUGAACAGCAAAGAGACGCCAUCACAUCACAGAGAAAGAGAGGAGGCGGCUUUUUGUGUCUGAAUCAGCAGAGAUUGCAGAUGAGGCGCCGCUAUUGUUUCUCCAAGUGAAAUGGAGAUGCU